This 720-nucleotide ribosomal RNA is filed under the name uncultured Fusobacteriota bacterium. RNAcentral describes it as "bacterial SSU rRNA". It matches the Rfam family "Bacterial small subunit ribosomal RNA", at positions 28 to 761 of the family's 1533-position model. Lineage: Bacteria; Fusobacteriati; Fusobacteriota. The record is from RNAcentral.
GAUGAACGCUGACAGAAUGCUUAACACAUGCAAGUCUACUUGAAUUUGGGUUUUUAACUUAGAUUUGGGUGGCGGACGGGUGAGUAACGCGUAAAGAACUUGCCUCACAGCUAGGGACAACAUUUAGAAAUGAACGCUAAUACCUAAUAUUAUGAUAAUAGGGCAUCCUAUAAUUAUGAAAGCUAUAUGCGCUGUGAGAGAGCUUUGCGUCCCAUUAGCUAGUUGGAGAGGUAACGGCUCACCAAGGCGAUGAUGGGUAGCCGGCCUGAGAGGGUGAUCGGCCACAAGGGGACUGAGACACGGCCCUUACUCCUACGGGAGGCAGCAGUGGGGAAUAUUGGACAAUGGACCGAGAGUCUGAUCCAGCAAUUCUGUGUGCACGAUGAAGUUUUUCGGAAUGUAAAGUGCUUUCAGUUGGGAAGAAAGAAAUGACGGUACCAACAGAAGAAGUGACGGCUAAAUACGUGCCAGCAGCCGCGGUAAUACGUAUGUCACGAGCGUUAUCCGGAUUUAUUGGGCGUAAAGCGCGUCUAGGUGGUUAUAUAAGUCUGAUGUGAAAAUGCAGGGCUCAACUCUGUAUUGCGUUGGAAACUGUAUAACUAGAGUACUGGAGAGGUAAGCGGAACUACAAGUGUAGAGGUGAAAUUCGUAGAUAUUUGUAGGAAUGCCGAUGGGGAAGCCAGCUUACUGGACAGAUACUGACGCUGAAGCGCGAAAGCG